This 253-nucleotide ribosomal RNA is filed under the name uncultured bacterium. RNAcentral's name for it is "partial 16S ribosomal RNA". It matches the Rfam family "Bacterial small subunit ribosomal RNA", at positions 524 to 776 of the family's 1533-position model. The record is from RNAcentral.
UACGGAGGGUGCAAUCGUUACUCGGAAUCACUGGGCGUAAAGGGCGCGCAUGCGGCCUAGCAAGUCUGGUGUGAAAGCCCAGGGCUCAACCCUGGAAGGGCACUGGAAACUGUUAGGCUUGAGUUCCGGAGAGGAGGGGGGAAUUCCCGGUGUAGCGGUGAAAUGCGUAGAUAUCGGGAGGAAUACCGGUGGCGAAGGCGCCCCUCUGGACGGAAACUGACGCUGAGGCGCCAAAGCGUGGGGAGCACACAGG